This 107-nucleotide small nuclear RNA is filed under the name Catagonus wagneri (Chacoan peccary). The record is from RNAcentral. Lineage: Eukaryota; Metazoa; Chordata; Mammalia; Artiodactyla; Tayassuidae.
GUGCUCACCACGGCAGCACAUAUGCUAAAACUGGAACGAUACCGAGAAGAUUAGCAUGGCUCCUGCACAAAAAUGACAUGCAAAUUCGUGAAGUAUUCUAUACUUUA